RNAcentral lists this non-coding RNA (1285 nucleotides) under Drosophila persimilis. RNAcentral's name for it is "Eukaryotic large subunit ribosomal RNA". It matches the Rfam family "Eukaryotic large subunit ribosomal RNA", at positions 2311 to 3399 of the family's 3401-position model. The record is from Rfam by way of RNAcentral. Lineage: Eukaryota; Metazoa; Arthropoda; Insecta; Diptera; Drosophilidae.
UAAAAUAAAGCUGAGAGAUCAGAUUCAUUCUGUCCCUAUCUACUAUCUAGCGAAACCACAGCCAAGGGAACGGGCUUGGAAUAAUUAGCGGGGAAAGAAGACCCUUUUGAGCUUGACUCUAAUCUGGCAGUGUAAGGAGACAUAAGAGGUGUAGCAUAAGUGGGAGAUAUUAGAUUUCGGUUUGGUAUCGACAAUGAAAUACCACUACUCUUAUUGUUUCCUUACUUACUUGAUUAAAUGGAACGUGUAUCAUUUCCUAGCCAUUAUACGGAUAUAUUUAUUAUAUCUUAUGGUAUUGGGUUUUGAUGCAAGCUUCUUGAUCAAAGUAUCACGAGUUUGUUAUAUAAUCGCAAACAAAUUCUUUAAUGAGAAAAUGCAUUUAUGUAUUUUCAAUUUGAAAAUUUGGUAUAACUCCAAUUACUCAGGUAUGAUCCAAUUCAAGGACAUUGCCAGGUAGGGAGUUUGACUGGGGCGGUACAUCUCUCAAAUAAUAACGGAGGUGUCCCAAGGCCAGCUCAGUGCGGACAGGAAACCACACAUAGAGCAAAAGGGCAAAUGCUGACUUGAUCUCGGUGUUCAGUACACACAGGGACAGCAAAAGCUCGGCCUAUCGAUCCUUUUGGUUUAAAGAGUUUUUAACAGAGUGUCAGAAAAGUUACCAUAGGGAUAACUGGCUUGUGGCGGCCAAGCGUUCAUAGCGACGUCGCUUUUUGAUCCUUCGAUGUCGGCUCUUCCUAUCAUUGUGAAGCAAAAUUCACCAAGCGUUGGAUUGUUCACCCAUGCAAGGGAACGUGAGCUGGGUUUAGACCGUCGUGAGACAGGUUAGUUUUACCCUACUAAUGACAAAACGUUGUUGCGACAGCAUUCCUGCGUAGUACGAGAGGAACCGCAGGUACGGACCAAUGGCACAAUACUUGUUCGAGCGAACAGUGGUAUGACGCUACGUCCGUUGGAUUAUGCCUGAACGCCUCUAAGGUCGUAUCCGUGCUGGACUGCAAUGAUAAAUAAGGGGCAAUUUGCAUUGUAUGGCUUCUAAACCAUUAAAAGUUUAUAAUUUAUUUUAUAAACGACAAUGGAUGUGAUGCCAAUGUAAUUUGUAACAUAGUAAAUUGGGAGGAUCAUCGAUCACCUGAUGCCGCGCUAGUUGCAUAUAAAAACAUUAUUUAAUACAAUGACAAAGCCUAGAAUCAAUUGUACACGACUUUUGUAACAGGCAAGGUGUUGUAAGUGGUUGAGCAGCUGCCAUACUGCGAUCCACUGAAGCUUAUCCUUUGCUUGAUGAUUC